RNAcentral lists this ribosomal RNA (470 nucleotides) under uncultured bacterium. Its description in RNAcentral is "bacterial SSU rRNA". It matches the Rfam family "Bacterial small subunit ribosomal RNA", at positions 28 to 496 of the family's 1533-position model. The record is from RNAcentral.
GAUGAACGCUGGCGGCGUGCUUAAUACAUGCAAGUCGAACGAAGCACCUUGGACAGAAUCCUUCGGGAGGAAGACCAUUGUGACUGAGUGGCGGACGGGUGAGUAACGCGUGGGUAACCUGCCUUGUACAGGGGGAUAACAGUUGGAAACGACUGCUAAUACCGCAUAAGCGCACAGUACCGCAUGGUACGGUGUGAAAAACUCCGGUGGUACAAGAUGGACCCGCGUCUGAUUAGCUGGUUGGUGAGGUAACGGCCCACCAAGGCGACGAUCAGUAGCCGACUUGAGAGAGUGAUCGGCCACAUUGGGACUGAGACACGGCCCAAACUCCUACGGGAGGCAGCAGUAGGGAAUAUUGCACAAUGGGGGAAACCCUGAUGCAGCGACGCCGCGUGAAGGAAGAAGUAUUUCGGUAUGUAAACUUCUAUCAGCAAGGAAGAAAAUGACGGUACUUGACUAAGAAGCCCCGG